GAUGAACGCUGGCGGCGUGCCUAAUACAUGCAAGUCGAGCGAACAGACGAGGAGCUUGCUCCUCUGACGUUAGCGGCGGACGGGUGAGUAACACGUGGAUAACCUACCUAUAAGACUGGGAUAACUUCGGGAAACCGGAGCUAAUACCGGAUAAUAUAUUGAACCGCAUGGUUCAAUAGUGAAAGACGGUUUUGCUGUCACUUAUAGAUGGAUCCGCGCCGCAUUAGCUAGUUGGUAAGGUAACGGCUUACCAAGGCGACGAUGCGUAGCCGACCUGGGAGGGUGAUCGGCCACACUGGAACUGAGACACGGUCCAGACUCCUACGGGAGGCAGCAGUAGGGAAGCUUCCGCAAUGGGCGAAAGCCUGACGGAGCAACGCCGCGUGAGUGAUGAAGGUCUUCGGAUCGUAAAACUCUGUUAUUAGGGAAGAACAAAUGUGUAAGUAACUAUGCACGUCUUGACGGUACCUAAUCAGAAAGCCACGGCUAACUACGUG
RNAcentral lists this ribosomal RNA (497 nucleotides) under uncultured bacterium. RNAcentral describes it as "partial 16S ribosomal RNA". It matches the Rfam family "Bacterial small subunit ribosomal RNA", at positions 28 to 507 of the family's 1533-position model. The record is from RNAcentral.